Molecule: ribosomal RNA, 200 nt
Filed under: uncultured bacterium
Lineage: Bacteria
Description: partial 16S ribosomal RNA
Rfam family: Bacterial small subunit ribosomal RNA
Source: RNAcentral
GAUGAACGCUAGCGGCAGGCUUAAUACAUGCAAGUCGAGGGGCAGCACGGGUAGCAAUACUUGGUGGCGACCGGCAAACGGGUGCGGAACACGUACGCAACCUUCCCAAAACUGGUGAAUAGCCCUCCGAAAGGAGGAUUAAUACACCGUAAGAUAAUUGGAUGGCAUCAUUUGAUUAUUAUAGCUCCGGCGGUUUUGGA